UACGUAGGGUGCGAGCGUUGCCCGGAUUUAUUGGGCGUAAAGGGCGCGUAGGCGGCCACGCACGUCCGUUGUGAAAUCGCCCGGCUCAACUGGGCGGGGUCAGCGGAUACGGUGUGGCUCGAGCAAGCUAGGGGGCAAUGGAAUUCCCGGUGUAGUGGUGGAAUGCGUAGAUAUCGGGAGGAACACCAGUGGCGAAGGCGGUUGCCUGGAGCUUUGCUGACGCUGAGGCGCGAAAGCGUGGGGAGCGAGUCCGG
RNAcentral lists this ribosomal RNA (254 nucleotides) under uncultured bacterium. Its description in RNAcentral is "partial 16S ribosomal RNA". It matches the Rfam family "Bacterial small subunit ribosomal RNA", at positions 524 to 777 of the family's 1533-position model. The record is from RNAcentral.